GACGAACGCUGGCGGCGUGCUUAACACAUGCAAGUCGAGCGGUAAGGCCCUUUCGGGGGUACACGAGCGGCGAACGGGUGAGUAACACGUGGGUGACCUGCCCUCAGCUCUGGGAUAAGCCUGGGAAACCGGGUCUAAUACUGGAUAUGACUCCAUGACGCAUGUUGUGGGGUGGAAAGCCUUGUGCGGCUGAGGAUGGGCCCGCGGCCUAUCAGCUUGUUGGUGGGGUGAUGGCCUACCAAGGCGACGACGGGUAGCCGGCCUGAGAGGGCGACCGGCCACACUGGGACUGAGACACGGCCCAGACUCCUACGGGAGGCAGCAGUGGGGAAUAUUGGACAAUGGGCGCAAGCCUGAUCCAGCGAUGCCGCGUGUGUGAAGAAGGCCUGCGGGUUGUAAA
This 400-nucleotide ribosomal RNA is filed under the name uncultured bacterium. RNAcentral describes it as "bacterial SSU rRNA". It matches the Rfam family "Bacterial small subunit ribosomal RNA", at positions 28 to 429 of the family's 1533-position model. The record is from RNAcentral.